CGUAAAGGUUUUCUCGGUUUAGAUGAAGAUUGGCCCUCAAAUGUAAAAACAAAGGGAAGUUUGAUUAGAAGACCUAUCCAUCGAGUAGGGAUGAAAGUUGGUUUUAGUAAUCUGAUCGUACUGAGUGGAAGGAUCAUUGUUCAA
This 144-nucleotide ribosomal RNA is filed under the name Olea europaea subsp. europaea. Its description in RNAcentral is "LSU_rRNA_bacteria". The record is from RNAcentral. Lineage: Eukaryota; Viridiplantae; Streptophyta; Magnoliopsida; Lamiales; Oleaceae.